Molecule: ribosomal RNA, 253 nt
Filed under: uncultured bacterium
Lineage: Bacteria
Description: partial 16S ribosomal RNA
Rfam family: Bacterial small subunit ribosomal RNA
Source: RNAcentral
UACAGAGGUCUCAAGCGUUGUUCGGAUUCAUUGGGCGUAAAGGGCGCGUAGGCGACGGGGUAAGACGGGUGUGAAAUCUCAGAGCUCAACUCUGAAACUGCACUCGAUACUGCUCUGCUUGAGGACUGGAGAGGAGACUGGAAUUCACGGUGUAGCAGUGAAAUGCGUAGAUAUCGUGAGGAAGACCAGUGGCGAAGGCGGGUCUCUGGACAGUUCCUGACGCUGAGGCGCGAAGGCCGGGGGAGCAAACGGG